ACAGUCACCAGCCGCACACACCGGAUCAUGGCUGCAGCCACACUAGGACAGGUCUGGGCCCGAAAGCUUCUGCCUGUUCCCUGGCUUCUAUGUGGGUCCAAAAGAUGUGUGUCCUCCAUAUUCAAGGCUGCAGACCUCCAGAUUCAGAUGACCAAAGAACCACAGAAGAAGCCAGCCCCUAGCCAGGCACUGCUGUUUGGGAAGACCUUCACAGACCACAUGCUGAUGGUGGAGUGGAAUAACAAGGCUGGAUGGGGCCCACCAAGGAUCCAGCCCUUCCAGAACCUCACGCUACACCCAGCCUGCUCUGGUCUGCACUACUCUCUGCAGCUCUUUGAGGGCUUGAAAGCAUACAAAGGUGGAGACCAGCAGGUACGCCUCUUCCGGCCCUGGCUCAACAUGGACAGGAUGCUACGUUCUGCUAGGCGCCUCUGCCUGCCAGACUUUGACAAGCAGGAGCUGUUGGAGUGUAUCCGCCAGCUCAUUGAAGUAGACAAAGACUGGGUUCCCGAUGGCAACGGAACGAGCCUCUACGUGCGGCCCGUGCUGAUCGGGAAUGAGCCCUCGCUGGGUGUUGGUAUGGUCACACAAGCCCUCCUGUACGUCAUUCUGUGCCCUGUGGGCUCCUACUUCCCUGGAGACUCCAUGACACCUGUCUCCCUCCUGGCGGACCCUUCAUUCGUCAGAGCCUGGAUAGGCGGAGUCGGUGACUGCAAGUUGGGGGGCAAUGCAGAGACAGGGGCAGCCUGGGCCACUGAGUGAGUUCCAGGACAGCCAGGGCCACACAGAGAAAUCCUGUUUCAAAAACUAAAACCAAAAAAGAAGAGUAGAGCAAGCGGAGCCGCUUGGUGUCACCACACCCGCGACCUUAGUCGCUGGAGAAAGGAUGAACUGGACGCAGGAGAAGGAGCUGACCAAACGGGGCCUCAGCCUUGAGCCCAACUAUUAGGUUAAGAAGUCUGUCCUGAAGGUUUAGGGGGCCACCGUUGGGCUGUGGGUUGGGGAAGGAGACUCCUUCUUGGCUGUGUUGUGGGGAGUACGGGGAAUUCUUUGCCCAGUGUGACCAGGCUGCCCUCCAGGAACUAUGGACCCACUGUGGCUGUGCAGCGAGAAGCCCAGAAGAGAGGCUGCGAGCAGGUCCUCUGGCUGUACGGGCCAGACCACCAGCUCACUGAGGUGGGCACCAUGAACAUCUUUGUCUACUGGACCCAUGAAGACGGAGUACUGGAGCUGGUAACCCCCCCACUGAAUGGCGUCAUCUUGCCUGGAGUAGUUCGACAAAGUCUGCUGGAUCUGGCCAGGACUUGGGGUGAGUUCCGGGUGGCAGAACGCAAGGUCACUAUGAAGGAAUUGAAGCGGGCGCUGGAGGAAGGCCGAGUGCGAGAAGUCUUCGGCUCAGGCACUGCUUGUCAGGUCUGCCCGGUGCACCAAAUCCUGUAUGAAGGCAAGCAACUCCACAUACCUACCAUGGAGAACGGCCCAGAGCUCAUCCUGCGCUUCCAGAAGGAACUGAAGGCUAUUCAGUACGGAGCCAGUGCCCACGAUUGGAUGUUUCGGGUGUGACGGUGGGGGCUGUGCCCUCCCUGGUUGGAUCUGCAGACGUGCCGCAUCUAGUCCAGCGUCCUCGCUUCCCAGAGACUCAAGAGAAGUGCAAUAGGGAAAGGUCUGUCCAGAUGCUGGAUCUCUGGCACCCCCUCGUGGACGUUACACUCCAAAGCCUUAAGGGCGGGACCCAUGCAAUUUGGACGCCACCUCAAAUUUUGGGUCUCAGGACUCAGCUGCUCCGCGUCCUGGUGUUCAAGGGAGAACCUUGGCUUCUUCUCUAUCUCCGUUCUCAGGCCGGAUCCCCGGUGCUCUUCGUGUCCUUCCCCCCCCCCCCCUUUUCUCCGUACUUGCUGCAAUUUUGAAAUAAAAUGCCAAAGAACAAGA
Mus musculus (house mouse) is the source of this 1929-nucleotide RNA transcript. It is a transcript of the gene named branched chain aminotransferase 2, mitochondrial, with no coding region annotated. NCBI's taxonomy places the organism in Eukaryota, Metazoa, Chordata, Mammalia, Rodentia, Muridae. The transcript has 11 exons. The record is from RefSeq and is marked validated.